RNAcentral lists this ribosomal RNA (427 nucleotides) under uncultured bacterium. RNAcentral's name for it is "bacterial SSU rRNA". It matches the Rfam family "Bacterial small subunit ribosomal RNA", at positions 355 to 774 of the family's 1533-position model. The record is from RNAcentral.
UGGGGAAUUUUGGACAAUGGGGGCAACCCUGAUCCAGCAACGCCGCGUGAAUGAAGAAGGCCUUAGGGUUGUAAAGUUCUUUUGUCUGGGAGCAAAAGUUAGGUGCUAAUAUCACCUAAAUAUGAGAGUACCAGAAGAAUAAGCACCGGCUAACUACGUGCCAGCAGCCGCGGUAAUACGUAGGGUGCGAGCGUUAAUCGGAAUUACUGGGCGUAAAGGGUGCGCAGGCGGAUAAUUAAGUUAGUAGUGAAAUCCCCGGGCUCAACCUGGGAAUUGCUAUUAAGACUGGUUGUCUAGAGUGUGUCAGAGGGGGGUAGAAUUCCAAGUGUAGCAGUGAAAUGCGUAGAGAUUUGGAGGAAUACCGAUGGCGAAGGCAGCCCCCUGGGAUAACACUGACGCUCAGGCACGAAAGCGUGGGUAGCAAACA